AUGGUAACAGUAAAGUGUGCAAACUGUGUAUGUUCAACAGUAAAUUAUUAUCUUUUUGUCUCUCACAUUCAACAGUUUGAAUUGUAGAGUGAACAGCAUGUUGCCAGUUUGGACAGUUAGAGCAUUAGGUAGUCUGUGCAUAACAUCUGCAAUUGUCCAGACUGGUAAGGAUGUGGUUUGGUUUCAAGAACAUCCUCAUUCUAUAGGCCUGGCGUAGUGAGGCGGAAUCGGAAGAGAAGGCCACACACGCCACUGAGUCAACCCCACCACCCUCCACCCAUUGCACACACACAAACUGGUUGUGAAAGAGACUGUUGUGUGUGUGACUUAGUGGUGAUGGUGGUGGGGGAGCAUUGCAAGGUUUGACAGACUGUCAAUAAGAUGGUGUUCUUAAGCCCAUACAGCAGCCUGAACUAGCAUCUCCCUGGUUGAACAGGAAAACCAUCUUUUCCUGCACGGCCAACUUUUCUCACAGAAGUUCUAGAGGAAGGAAGAGAAUGAAAGACAGCCGGUGACCUGGGCCUACACAUUACCCAGCAGAGAGAAAUUAGUGCGAAAUCAUGAGAGGAAAUGCACACAUCAAUUGUGCCUCUAUUUUGGCCCCUGGAUCUGUUGCAGGCAGCUUUUAAUGAAAGGCGACCAUUGUUGGAAAUGGCAAGCUGAUACUUCAAAACAGAUGAAAUCAUGUUCUGUGUGAACAGGAAACAGAAUUCUAACCUCUGACCCGCCGUGUAAUGAACUCCUAACAUGUGUGCCAAAGGGCUGCAUGCCUUCUAUGUCUGACUGCAGCACAAGGAGGGGAUCCACACUUCUGGCCAUUACUGAGGACUAAAAUGCUAAGUCAUACGUCUGUCAGUAGGGACACAUGGCUUGUCAGAGUGUUCUACGAAAGUAACUUUGAGGGGGUCUCCCCAGGACAAUACUAACUCAUAUCGAUUGUCUCAAUUUAGAGAGAAUAAAACCGCAACAAUCCUUUUGCACCCCUUGAGAAAGCACUGAGUUCCACAGAUUACGACAUGACCUCUCUCCGGCAUCAGCAGCCAUGCUCCUGUAAUGCCUUCCUCAUAAGUGGGGCAAAGUGAACUUCAUGUCCCCACAUUCCCUCCAGCUCCCGAAAAAUUUCAUCAAGGCCACGACUCCCAUAAGAUGAGGCAGCCAGGACAGAAAAAUCCCCCUUCUACUGUUUAUCCUAACAGAGUGUAAUGUAAAAACAGAAAAGCCACGUCUUCCUUUUGUGGAAGUGUCUGUUCAGAUGGGUCUUGCACACGCAGGGGAAGGCAGUUUAUAUUUAGCCUGCACUUUGUCUGUUAACUCCGUGGUGACUGCGGAAGGAAGAGGCUUCUGUGCAGCAAACAGGGGAGCCAUGACAAUGUGCACCGAUGAGCCGGGUCACUCAGAGCCCUGGUGAAGGGGGUGCAUCACCUGAAUCCUCUAUUUUGCAUUGCCAGGUUGGUUGAAACCUGCCUGCUGCUGUUUGUGUUCACAACCUUGAGAUCGUAUCCUCUUCACAGUUUUGAUAAGCCACUGAAAGAAUGUUUGACUGAGGAAAAGUACCACAGCUGCCGGUACAGAGCGUUCACACCAUGAGAAAUUGUUUCCCCAAGUGUUUGUUUGAGAAAUAUGUAUGAAAACUGUGUGGAAGGUAUCAGAAUUAGUACCAUUCAAAACUAAACUGAGCCAUUUUACACUCCUUAACAUUUGCAUAUUUUCCACUUAUUUGUCUGUUUCUUUAUCACAUAGUCAUACAUUCUAAACUUGUGUUAAAUAUCUCAUACGGUUUCUGUAAUGUAGCAGAGGAACAGUGCAUCUGUAAUGGUGAUUAAAGCUGAUUACUUGUGACAUUAUAAUCCCAAAAUAAAAUAUUUUUUUCCUUU
This is a long non-coding RNA of Alosa sapidissima (American shad), 1874 nucleotides long. RefSeq lists it as uncharacterized. Lineage: Eukaryota; Metazoa; Chordata; Actinopteri; Clupeiformes; Clupeidae. The transcript is spliced from 2 exons. The record is from RefSeq and is a predicted model, not a curated record.